Long non-coding RNA from Leopardus geoffroyi (Geoffroy's cat), 1327 nucleotides. RefSeq lists it as uncharacterized. The transcript is spliced from 3 exons. Lineage: Eukaryota; Metazoa; Chordata; Mammalia; Carnivora; Felidae. The record is from RefSeq and is a predicted model, not a curated record.
GGUCCCCUGUGUCUGGGUGCCUGGUGUGGAGUCUGUUCCUCUCUCUUCCGCAUACUUAUGGCAUCCCUCCCUUUUGUGGUUGGUCUCACAGGUUAGUUUGAUUGUUGACUACAUCUCUGCCCUUCCGUCCAUUUUCAAUGUGGCCUCUUCUCUAUGAUGAACUGUGAAGAGUCUGUUCUGCCAAGACUCCACAUGAUUUUCUGGGUUAGUUACGCUGAUGUGGGUGUUAUCUACCUGUGUUCAUGGUCCAAGUUGCUAAGAGACAUCUUAAAGUCCUUAUCAAAAGAAAAACAAAUUUCUACAUAUGGAUGGUGAUGACUGUUAACUAGACAUACUGUGGCUUGUGUGUGAAACAAGAACUGAAGUGCUCACAGAUGAGGCAGUGAUUAGCAUCCAAACCUACCCCAUGCCAAGCAAGAGCUGUUGUUGCUGCGAUCCAAAGUUAUCUAGGUGAUCACUGACAAAUAGCUUCCCCCAGAACAUGAGAAAUCUCCAGCCACCUGCUCUUUCUUGGCUGGUGGAGUGAAACAGAUUUCCCAGUCUACUGGCUCUGCUAAACUGUGAGUUCCAGGUAAGCCAAAGCCACUCUUCCAGCCAUUGAAAGAAAAAAAUGACCUCAGUCAGCAGGAGGACUCUCUCCUGCCAGAAGAAAGGAAAAGAGACUUGAGAAAUCAUUUAACCCAAGACCCUCAUUGUACAGAUCAGAAUUCAGGUCAAGUGCUUCGCCUAAGUCAUAAAUCAGUUAUUUUAUUGCAAAAACAGUAUGAGCAAAAACCUCUCUGGUUAAAUUAAAGAUCUUCCCAGGGGGGCAUCAUGAUGUAUGUAAUGAGCAGAGUACUGGUAUUGAUUGAGACUCUCUUGGCUUGUAUUUUAAUUCUUCAAUUAUAUAUAAGCUACCAAGGUAACCUUUAGCAACUUCAGUUUCCUUGAUGCUACCUUACAGGGUCAUUUUGAAGAGUACGUGUGACAAUUCACAUAAUAGUCAUGUAAUUGCAACAUGUAAUUGUUAUGUAAUUGUACAUAAAUUAAGUACAUGCUAGCAAUUAUUAUUAUUAUUCAGUGGCCCAGGAAAUGUAAACCUAUCAGCUAUCUACUGAUAUCUUCAAAAGAAGAGGACAUCCUACAAGGAACUGUGAAGUCAAAUAAAUUUACAAAAUUUAAAGCUAAAUAGUUGGUCUAGAUCACCAACUAUUCAGUCUUUUUAAAAUUCUCUCUUCCUUAUCUUUGGAAUGACUAUCCAAAGACUUCAGCAAAUGCAACUGGCCCAGAAAUGUAACCACAUAUAAUAUAGAACUUAAAAAAUAAAGGUUUUUAUUUCCAUCUAAAA